Molecule: ribosomal RNA, 916 nt
Filed under: Pediococcus pentosaceus
Lineage: Bacteria; Bacillati; Bacillota; Bacilli; Lactobacillales; Lactobacillaceae
Description: bacterial SSU rRNA
Rfam family: Bacterial small subunit ribosomal RNA
Source: RNAcentral
AUACAUGCAGUCGAACGAACUUCCGUUAAUUGAUUAUGACGUACUUGUACUGAUUGAGAUUUUAACACGAAGUGAGUGGCGAACGGGUGAGUAACACGUGGGUAACCUGCCCAGAAGUAGGGGAUAACACCUGGAAACAGAUGCUAAUACCGUAUAACAGAGAAAACCGCAUGGUUUUCUUUUAAAAGAUGGCUCUGCUAUCACUUCUGGAUGGACCCGCGGCGUAUUAGCUAGUUGGUGAGGUAAAGGCUCACCAAGGCAGUGAUACGUAGCCGACCUGAGAGGGUAAUCGGCCACAUUGGGACUGAGACACGGCCCAGACUCCUACGGGAGGCAGCAGUAGGGAAUCUUCCACAAUGGACGCAAGUCUGAUGGAGCAACGCCGCGUGAGUGAAGAAGGGUUUCGGCUCGUAAAGCUCUGUUGUUAAAGAAGAACGUGGGUAAGAGUAACUGUUUACCCAGUGACGGUAUUUAACCAGAAAGCCACGGCUAACUACGUGCCAGCAGCCGCGGUAAUACGUAGGUGGCAAGCGUUAUCCGGAUUUAUUGGGCGUAAAGCGAGCGCAGGCGGUCUUUUAAGUCUAAUGUGAAAGCCUUCGGCUCAACCGAAGAAGUGCAUUGGAAACUGGGAGACUUGAGUGCAGAAGAGGACAGUGGAACUCCAUGUGUAGCGGUGAAAUGCGUAGAUAUAUGGAAGAACACCAGUGGCGAAGGCGGCUGUCUGGUCUGCAACUGACGCUGAGGCUCGAAAGCAUGGGUAGCGAACAGGAUUAGAUACCCUGGUAGUCCAUGCCGUAAACGAUGAUUACUAAGUGUUGGGAGGGUUUCCGCCCUUCAGUGCUGCAGCUAACGCAUUAAGUAAUCCGCCUGGGGAGUACGACCGCAAGGUUGAACUCAAAAGAAUUGACGGGGGCCG